Molecule: ribosomal RNA, 463 nt
Filed under: uncultured bacterium
Lineage: Bacteria
Description: partial 16S ribosomal RNA
Rfam family: Bacterial small subunit ribosomal RNA
Source: RNAcentral
AGUGAACGCUGGCGGCGUGCCUAAUACAUGCAAGUCGAACGAUGAAGUCCUAGCUUGCUCGGAUGGAUUAGUGGCGCACGGGUGAGUAAUAUAUAGUUAAUCUGCCCUACACAGAGGAACAACAGUUGGAAACGGCUGCUAAUACCUCAUACUCCUAUUUGACAUAAGUUAAAUAGGGAAAGUCUUUUCGGUGUAGGAUGAGACUAUAUCGUAUCAGCUAGUUGGUAAGGUAAUGGCUUACCAAGGCUAUGACGCGUAACUGGUCUGAGAGGAUGAUCAGUCACAUUGGAACUGAGACACGGUCCAAACUCCUACGGGAGGCAGCAGUAAGGAAUAUUGCGCAAUGGGGGAAACCCUGACGCAGCAACGCCGCGUGGAGGAGGACACUUUUCGGAGCGUAAACUCCUUUUAUCAGGAAAGAAUAAUGACGGUACCUGAUGAAUAAGCACCGGCUAACUCCGUG